This is a long non-coding RNA of Erpetoichthys calabaricus (reedfish), 926 nucleotides long. RefSeq lists it as uncharacterized. The record is from RefSeq and is a predicted model, not a curated record. Lineage: Eukaryota; Metazoa; Chordata; Cladistia; Polypteriformes; Polypteridae. The transcript has 3 exons.
UUUGCUGCAGACCCACUAUACCACACAUAUCUAGAGGAAACCAGGCACAGGCCCAUCACUUGAGCAAUACCAUACCAACAGUGAAACCUCAGACUCUGGACCUCAGUCUGGGCUGAAAGUUCAUCCUCCAAUCAGGACAAAGCAAAGACAACACAGGAGGUGCUUAGAGUUGACUCUGGGAAUGUUCUUGAGUGGCCCAGUCAGAGAUCAAACUUGAAAUCGGUCAAACAUCUCUGGAGAGACCAGAAGAUAGCCGUCCACCGAUGGUCUCUGAUCAUCCUGACGGAGCUAGAAGGGAAGAAUGGCAGUAGAAAUUCCCAAAAUCAGCAGAAAUCAAGAAGACUCCAAAGGUGCUUGGGCAAGGGGUUUGAAUAUGUGGAAUAAGGAGACAUUUUGUUUUCUAUUUUUAACAAGUUAGCAACAAAACAUUUCUAAACUCUGGUUUUCUCUUUGUCGUUCUGGGGUACUGAGUGUUGCUCGAUGAAAGGCUAGAUGUUUGUUUAUAUUUAAAAUGAAAUAUCAAGAGGGUAAACCACAAAGCCUUCUAUUCACAUUCUCAUUUUUUUUUUUCUCAGGACGUGGACUCAAAACCUUGUGGUUGCUGAUGUAGUUGGCCCCCCUGACCCACUUUACGGCCAUGCCUGCCUGCCUGGCCUCUAUGUUAGUAAUUGAUGGAAGCGUCCUACCAUCAGAAAAGACGUCAUGUAACAUAAAGUCUGGAGGACCGUUAACUACAGUGGGUUCAUCAAACAAUGGAGCAUAAAUGUCACUCGACCAGGUAGCCCUCUGAUUGUUUUAGUAAGGCCCAUGGUGGUUAAACACCAUUUGUGGUUUGUGCAGCUGCCCUAAACUGAUGGAAACAUCUGCAGUGCUGCCUUUGUGUUGAAGUCACCUGAGUUUGAGCUCUGGGGGUCUGCAAUUUAGAA